This 423-nucleotide ribosomal RNA is filed under the name Triticum aestivum (bread wheat). RNAcentral describes it as "partial small subunit ribosomal RNA". Lineage: Eukaryota; Viridiplantae; Streptophyta; Magnoliopsida; Poales; Poaceae. The record is from RNAcentral.
AUGAAUGAUCCUCAAAUUAAACCCAGAUCUCAGAUCUGUCAGCAGGAAGAACAAAACGAAGAAAAAAAACCUGGUGAUAAAAGUGCUUGUGGCCAGUCAAAGGUACCUAAAAUUGCACAUUAUUCUCAGCAGCAAGAAUACACAGAUUAUGCAGAUAGAAGUCAUGAGAACAAGGUACCUAAAAUUGCACAUCAUUCUCAGCAACAAGAGUACACGGAGUUUGCAGAUAGAAGUCAUGACAACAAGGUACGAAAAUUGCAGGUGCUCAAAAAUUUGUAUCAAGGCAACAAACAUAUGCAGCCACUUAUAGAACCAUUCAAUGGGAUUUCUGAGGAUGCACUUUUGGGAUCAGACCGACACCCCAUUCCUAGACAGAAAGAAUCAAAUCAACAGGAAUCAGAUUUGCUUCAUUUAGGGAACUAA